GCCGGCAUAGCUCAGCUGGUAGAGCAACUGACUUGUAAUCAGUAGGUCGGGAGUUCGACUCUCUCUGCCGGCACCA
RNAcentral lists this transfer RNA (76 nucleotides) under Pseudoalteromonas sp. Its description in RNAcentral is "tRNA-Thr". It matches the Rfam family "tRNA". From Rfam's summary of the family: Transfer RNA (tRNA) molecules are approximately 80 nucleotides in length. Their secondary structure includes four short double-helical elements and three loops (D, anti-codon, and T loops). Further hydrogen bonds mediate the characteristic L-shaped molecular structure. tRNAs have two regions of fundamental functional importance: the anti-codon, which is responsible for specific mRNA codon recognition, and the 3' end, to which the tRNAs corresponding amino acid is attached (by aminoacyl-tRNA synthetases). tRNAs cope with the degeneracy of the genetic code in two manners: having more than one tRNA (with a specific anti-codon) for a particular amino acid; and 'wobble' base-pairing, i.e. permitting non-standard base-pairing at the 3rd anti-codon position. Lineage: Bacteria; Pseudomonadati; Pseudomonadota; Gammaproteobacteria; Alteromonadales; Pseudoalteromonadaceae. The record is from RNAcentral. RNAcentral also lists the same sequence under 42 other names.